UGAGGAAUAUUGGUCAAUAGGCGAGAGCCUGAACCAGCCAAGUAGCGUGCAGGAUGACGGCCCUAUGGGUUGUAAACUGCUUUUAUGUGGGGAUAAAGUGCGUGACGUGUCAUGCAUUGCAGGUACCACAUGAAUAAGGACCGGCUAAUUCCGUGCCAGCAGCCGCGGUAAUACGGAAGGUCCGGGCGUUAUCCGGAUUUAUUGGGUUUAAAGGGAGCGUAGGCUGUCUAUUAAGCGUGUUGUGAAAUAUACCGGCUCAACCGGUGGCUUGCAGCGCGAACUGGUCGACUUGAGUAUGCAGGAAGUAGGCGGAAUUCAUGGUGUAGCGGUGAAAUGCUUAGAUAUCAUGACGAACUCCGAUUGCGCAGGCAGCUUACUGUAGCAUAACUGACGCUGAUGCUCGAAAGUGCGGGUAUCAAACAGG
This 424-nucleotide ribosomal RNA is filed under the name Fusobacteriota bacterium. Its description in RNAcentral is "Fusobacteria bacterium partial 16S ribosomal RNA". It matches the Rfam family "Bacterial small subunit ribosomal RNA", at positions 355 to 776 of the family's 1533-position model. The record is from RNAcentral. Lineage: Bacteria; Fusobacteriati; Fusobacteriota.